RNAcentral lists this ribosomal RNA (406 nucleotides) under uncultured bacterium. Its description in RNAcentral is "partial 16S ribosomal RNA". It matches the Rfam family "Bacterial small subunit ribosomal RNA", at positions 28 to 526 of the family's 1533-position model. The record is from RNAcentral.
GAUGAACGCUAGCUACAGGCUUAACACAUGCAAGUCGAGGGACCGGCGCACGGGUGAGUAACACGUAUCCAACCUGCCCUUUACUCGGGGAUAGCCUUUCGAAAGAAAGAUUAAUACCCGAUGUAAAGGAUGGGGAUGCGUUCCAUUAGGUUGUUGGUGAGGGAACGGCUAACCAAGCCUUCGAUGGCUAGGGGUUCGGAGAGGAAGGCCCCCCACAUUGGAACUGCGACCCGGUCCAAAACCCGACGGAGGGCAGGAGUGAGGAAGAUUGGGCAAUGGGCGUUAGCCUGAACCAGCCGAGUAGAGUGAAGGAUGAAGGCUUAUGGGUCGUAAACUUCUUUUAUAUAAGAAGAUGUAUUAUAUGAAUAAGGAUCGGCUAACUCCGUGCCAGCAGCCGCGGUAAUAC